UUUACACACUAGUGUAGAGAUACUGUGAGGUGUAGCUGUUAGCUUAACCAACUGACAGAGCUAGCAUUAGCUUGCUAGUAUGCUAAUGCCUAAGGGAUGAUAUGAAUGCUUUUUAAACAUCAAAGUAAAAUCCUAUCUUAAUUGGAGAAACAAAACAUACCAAAAUGAAGUAGGAAUAAAGCUGAUUCAAUUAGUUCUUCACGACACAGAUUAGCUCUGACGGGAUAUUUAGCCUGCUAAGCUAACUGCUAGGUGUAACUGCUAUGAAGCUAACACAAGCUCCGCCCUACAGCAGACCGUCCAAGAUCCUUUGGAGUGUCUCUCUACAGGAGCUGUCAAUCAAAAUAAACCCCAAGAAACCCGAGCAGUCUGGUGAUCGGGCAGAUUGUUAACAAACCCUGAGGUUUGAUUUUCUCCCGUGGUGUCUGUGUGGAGCGUGCCACACACCCACUCCACAACAACGACGGCUUUUGCUUGCAUCUUCCAGUGUUUCUUCUGUCAGCAAGUCCAGCAGAGCUGCAACUCUUCCAGUGCCAGCCCUGACACCAGCGAAGAGCCCUGCCCCACUGACAUGGUGAAGAUGACCAAGUCGAAGACCUUCCAGGCUUACCUGCCCUCCUGUCACCGCACAUACAGCUGCAUCCACUGCCGGGCGCACCUGGCCAACCACGACGAGCUCAUC
This is a long non-coding RNA of Notolabrus celidotus (New Zealand spotty), 682 nucleotides long. RefSeq lists it as uncharacterized. The transcript has 3 exons. The record is from RefSeq and is a predicted model, not a curated record. NCBI's taxonomy places the organism in Eukaryota, Metazoa, Chordata, Actinopteri, Labriformes, Labridae.